UGGUAAAAAGAGGAUUUGAACCUCUGUCAUUGGAACUACAAACCACCGCCUGCUCUCUGGGCUAU
Molecule: transfer RNA, 65 nt
Filed under: Pristimantis ridens (pygmy robber frog)
Lineage: Eukaryota; Metazoa; Chordata; Amphibia; Anura; Strabomantidae
Description: partial tRNA-Tyr
Source: RNAcentral